This is a non-coding RNA of Drosophila virilis, 577 nucleotides long. NCBI's taxonomy places the organism in Eukaryota, Metazoa, Arthropoda, Insecta, Diptera, Drosophilidae. The record is from RefSeq and is a predicted model, not a curated record.
GGCAUUGAAUGCAAUGCAUACCACUGUACGCUGCCGUAAACGAGAACACGGCCGAUAAACAAGCAUUCUGAUUGGGUUUGUUGUCCAUGCGUUCUCAUUGCCAGUUUGACGGCAUAAGAGUUAACGUCAGUAGGCAGCAAGACGUAAACGAAAAUGGUUGUGUUUUUGUUGUUACGUGAACGUUGAUUUAUUUAUGCAUCAUAAUAAUAAUUUUUUUUUGCGUUUUUUUUUUGUGUGUUCGUGUGCGAAACAACAAUCGUAACAACUAUUUACAAAAAAAAAAUUUAAGUAAAAAAAAAUAAAUAUUAUUGAUAUAUGUUUGUAUGUGCAAAGUGUUCGGCAAUGUUUAUAGAAAAUUACAAAAGAUAAUUAAAUACGACAACAAUAGCAACAACAACAACAAAGCGCAGCCAAUGCGGCUUUCGGCGUGACAACAAUACAAUUGUGCAAUUCAGAAAAAUUAAAAAAAAUAAUCAAAAAAUAAAUAUUAAAAAAAAAUCGAUAGAAAUAAAUAAAUGUAACAACAAAAGCGACUCGAUGUGAGCGCCAACAGUGGCUGCCAAAACAAAAAAAAAAA